AUGGCUCGGAUCCUGCAUCCCUGUGGCUGCCGUGUAGACCAGCAGCUACAGUUCCGAGUUAGCCUGGGAACCUGUAUAUGCCGUGGGGUUCAAAAAAAAAAGAAAAGAAGGAGAGAAAGAGAAGUGUGGUUGCUGGGAGAUGGGAGGAAAGCAGAGUGAGGAUUUGUUGAUUGGUGGGUAUAGUGUUUCAAGUUUUUCAACUUGAAAAAAAUUUUUUUUUACUGGAUUCAAAAAAAUUUAUAUUCAUUAGAAUAAAUUCCAGUAUACUGCCAGGACAGUCUCACCAGUGACCCAGCUCUAAAGGCUGACAGUGCUACGUGUUCAGGGAGGAAGUGCUACGCUGGGUGGGGAGCAGGUCGCAGGCUGGGACCAGCUGAGUCCAGGCCUUCUGGUCUGCAGGUCAGCGGCACCGAGAUGCUGGCUGCUGGCGGAAGGAGCGAAUGAGUGAUUGGCAGCUGCCCUCACCUCCCCCAGGAGCCCCUCCUUUCCUGCGGCUCCAGACGCCCCCCCCCCGACCCCGGGACCCUACGUCUUGCAGGACCGACCACCCCAGGGUCCAGGGUCCCUGGCUCGGCACCUGAGCUACCGGCUGGACGUGCAGGAGACCGUGACGGUGCAGGAGGGCCUGUGUGUCCGCGUGCCCUGCUCCUUCUUCCAUUCUUGGAUCUCCUGGUCUGCGCCUGUUCACGGCUACUGGUUCCGCGAAGAGGCCACACCUGUUCCGGGAUGAUCCCGUGGCCACAAACAACCCAGCUCUUAAAGUGCGGGAGGAGACCCGGGGCCGAUUCCACCUCCUCUGGGACCCGCGGAACAAGAGCUGCUCCCUGGACAUCAGAGACGCACAAUGCCGUUUGGAAAUUAACUUCUAGAGAAAAAAAUCAUUUAUCUGAAAUGAGAGUUGCACUGAAUGAGACCAAGAGCAGAUUCAGUACUGUGGGAGAGUAAUCAGUGUGUUUGAAGGUGUAGCAGCAGCUCCUAUUGAAACUGCAGAAUCUAGAGAAAAAGGCUGGAAACGGUGAAGAGAUGCUCAGGGCCCUGCAAGAUAAUAUGCAGCAAUAUAACAUGCGUAAAAUUGGAGACCCGUGGAGUUCCCCUCGUGGCUGAGUGGUUAAAAAAUCCGACUAGGAACCAUGAGGUUGUGGGUUUGAUCCCUGGCCUCCCUCAGUGGGUUAAGGAUUUGGCCUUGCGGCGAGCUGUGGUGUAGGUCGCAGACGGGGCUCGGAUCCCACGUUGCUGUGGCUCUGGCGUAGACUGGCAGCUACAGCUCCGAUUAGACCCCUAGCCUGGGAACCUCCAUAUGCUGCGGGAGUGGUUCUAGAAAAGGCAAAAAAAAAAAAAAAAAAAAAAAAAAAUUGGAGACCCAGAGGAGAAAGAGAGGAAGAAUAGGAAAAAUAUGUAUGUAUUUGAAUAAACAGCAGCUUCAAUGUCGACA
RNAcentral lists this long non-coding RNA (1432 nucleotides) under Sus scrofa (pig). Its description in RNAcentral is "lncRNA (ENSSSCG00035077683.1)". Lineage: Eukaryota; Metazoa; Chordata; Mammalia; Artiodactyla; Suidae. The record is from RNAcentral.